Molecule: transfer RNA, 72 nt
Organism: Edhazardia aedis
Lineage: Eukaryota; Fungi; Microsporidia; Culicosporidae
Rfam family: tRNA
About the family: Transfer RNA (tRNA) molecules are approximately 80 nucleotides in length. Their secondary structure includes four short double-helical elements and three loops (D, anti-codon, and T loops). Further hydrogen bonds mediate the characteristic L-shaped molecular structure. tRNAs have two regions of fundamental functional importance: the anti-codon, which is responsible for specific mRNA codon recognition, and the 3' end, to which the tRNAs corresponding amino acid is attached (by aminoacyl-tRNA synthetases). tRNAs cope with the degeneracy of the genetic code in two manners: having more than one tRNA (with a specific anti-codon) for a particular amino acid; and 'wobble' base-pairing, i.e. permitting non-standard base-pairing at the 3rd anti-codon position.
Source: Rfam
UCUUCCUUAGUAUAGUGGUUAGUAUAUCAGCCUGUCACGUUGGUGGCCCGAGUUCGAUUCUCGGAGGAAGAG